Molecule: ribosomal RNA, 253 nt
Filed under: uncultured bacterium
Lineage: Bacteria
Description: partial 16S ribosomal RNA
Rfam family: Bacterial small subunit ribosomal RNA
Source: RNAcentral
GACAGAGGCCACGAGCGUUGUUCGGAAUCACUGGGCAUAAAGCGCACGUAGGCGGCUAGGUCCGUCCGAUGUGAAAGCCCCCGGCUCAACCGGGGAAUUGCAUCGGAUACAGCCUGGCUUGAGGACGGUUGGGGUGAGUGGAACUCCUGGUGGAGCGGUGAAAUGCGUAGAUAUCAGGAGGAACACCGGUGGCGAAAGCGGCUCACUGGACCGUUUCUGACGCUGAGGUGCGAAAGCUAGGGGAGCAAACGGG